Long non-coding RNA from Monopterus albus (swamp eel), 3135 nucleotides. RefSeq lists it as uncharacterized. The transcript has 3 exons. Lineage: Eukaryota; Metazoa; Chordata; Actinopteri; Synbranchiformes; Synbranchidae. The record is from RefSeq and is a predicted model, not a curated record.
ACACCAGGAGCAACUGGGGAUUCAGUGUUUUGCUCAAGGACACUUCGACACGUGGACUGGACAAGCCAGGAAUCGAGCCGCUAAUAUUCUGGGGUCAUGUGGCCUCUGACAGUGGGGGGAAGGUGAAUCUGUGGGGAUUAGCCUCCACAGUCAACAUACUGACCGCACACCACUCACUCACCGAUGGCCACAGUCCAUAAACACCAGGGCACCAACAGUAGCCUUGUGUGACACACACAAGCACCGUUGACUAUGGUGUCCCUGGAAGAGGAGCUGACCUGCUCCAUGCACCGAGACAUCUUCAGCCAAGCUCAGCCCCUGCCCUGUGGUCACAGCUUCUGCCCCGCCUGCAUCCGUGAUGCCUGGAGCGGCCAUGGGUGAAGGCAGAGGUCACCUGUCCCCAGUGCCAGGUGGAGUAUGGUGAAGUGUUGUGUGACUGCUGCCCCCCUGAGGCAGAGGAAGGGCAGCCAUCAUUGCUGUCAGGGCCUGCCUGAAGUGUGAGGUGUUGCUGUGUUCUGAUCACCUCCAGCCCCUUCUGCAGAGACCAGUGUUUAACACCCACCUGUUAGUGGAGCCGCUGUGGGACCUCUCACAGCAAAGGUGCCCAACACACACAGAGAUAUUCUGCUAUUACUGUGCCAGUGAGAGGAUGUACGUGUGUGGGGAUUGUCUGCUGGAGGGAGGCCAUGCUCAGUAUAAAGUGAAAGCCCUGAGACAAGUGGAAGGGGACCUGAAGGUGAGCUGAAGGUGUAUAAUAUGUGGUUUUUAUGUUUGUUUCUGUACAAGUGUAGGGUUGCUGAACUACUGAAUGUGUGGCUCCACAGGUCAUUCUCCAUACGCUGCUUAGAAAAGCAGAGGAGAAGCUGAAAGAUGAACAGCGAAUCCACAAAUAGCAUGAGACUAUAGAUUCCACCAUGGCUGUGAAUAAAAAUAUUUAAACUGCAAAGCAAAUGCAAAAUAAUGACUCAUUCAGUCGAAGCUGUUCUGCUUAUACUGCCAAAGUUGUGACUUUCAAAAGAUCCUAAAUUUAAAUCCUUUCUAUGUAUAACAUUCAGGUAGGCCUCCUUCUGCUGAUUUUUUUCAGAUGAUUUAAUUAUGUACCAGUCACUGAUCUGGUACCAGUCACUGAUCUCUCACUGUUGUUUGCAGGACUGUCCACAGAAGGACAACACCCAGGUGGAGCGGCUGGGCUCUGACCUGCCAGUCCAGGUGAGAAGGCUGGUGGGAGAUCAUCAAGAGGGAGAGACAGCAGGUCAUUAAGCAUGUGCACAAGGACUUCUCCAAGGUGAGGGAUGACAUAAGCCAGACACUUUGCAUUUAGCAAUACCUGGCCUCGUUGCUGGCAGAGACGGACCCCUUCCUGCUCAUCUGGGUAAGGCUUGCUGCUGAGAAAACACUGCUGCACAUUACCAGGGUAGAAACGAUUUGGGUUCUGUUGGGCUAUGCAGAAUGUCUCAAUCCAGGGGCUCUGUUUGCUACCAAUAUUUAGCUUCUGUUUAGGGGCUGGCAGUGUUGGCUGGUCUUCUCUCUUGGGUCAAGAUGGAAUAUCUCAACAACUAUUGUGUCAGUCACCAUUAAAUUUUGUUCAUAUUGGUUUGUGUUGGUACAGCAGCAAUGUCUGGGGCAGUGGUGGCCUAAAGGUUACAGAAGCGAACUUGUGACAAGAAGGUCGCCAUCUCCAGACUGGCAGGAUUUGACUGGGUGGGACAGGUGACAAAGCAAGACCAGCACUGCCCUCAUCAACACCACUGUGGUGCCCUUAACCUCACUGUCAGCAGGUCACACUGUGGUUGUACAGGGUGGUCCCGAAAGAGAGAGGUGACCUCUCAGUGGACCUACUCUGGCUCAAUAAAGGCUUAAAAAACGAAACUCUGCUGGCCAGAGUGAACACACAGCACAAGACCCUUGUUUUCCAGCCGAGGUUGACAGCGUGCAAAUCUUGCCUGCAACCAGGUUCCUCUCAUUAAAAUACAUUUGACACCAGCAACUUUUCCUGCCUUGGUUGAAUGAACCACCACCUGUUUGCACCUCCUCCCACCUGCACAUCGCAUGCUCUGUGAUUGGCACAAAGAUAUCACAGGGACUUGCGAUGCAAAUUUCAAGAUGAGUGCUGCUUGCUCUGGUCGCUGCCACUAUGAAAACAGAGUCAUUAUUCUUUCAUGGCAUUUGGGAUAUAGCCUGUAGUUGGGGUUUCAGUGCUGAAGUGAUGUUGAUGCUAUUUACCAUGAUGUUCAACUGUUUUAUAUGAUGUGCACCAUAUGAUCUGUGUGGGCAGCUGUGUGAUGACAGGUAGAUAAGACCUGUAGACAAUAGUUAAAUGUUUGUAAGUGGUGCCUCACUGGUGAGAAGGUGUGUAAUGAAUGUACUGACACGCCAUUGUAUUAUGUUACUACUCAUAUACUGUUCACUUUGUUUUACAGAGCCUGUGGAUAUUGUUUUAAGCAUGUGAACACGGCAUCGCUGUUUGCAGUUUGAACCCACAGAGGAUGCUGUUAUCAUGCAGUUUAAUCUUGUUAGUGCUUGGAAAGAGCUGCAGUUUGCAGCACAGCCAUGAGGUUGUUUACCAUUAGUAUUAUUUUUCAUUUUGUCAAAUAUAUUACAGAAAAAAGGUAGCCAACAGAUCUACCCAAUAAAAUAUACCCAGCCACGGAUGUAUAUACUGUAUUUGAAUGAGUGUUGAACCUUUGUUUUCUUAUCCAGUUGUGCCUUUUCACUGAUUUCUGUCAUUCUUUGAAUCAUUUUGUCACAUUUUUCUCUGCCGGCCUUGACUCCUUCUUCACCAGGCCUUUCAGUUAGAUAAAACAAAGUAAGUUCAGAACACAUCAGUGACACUGUGUGAAGUUACACAACCAGACAAAGGUUUGAACACACUCUCUCAUUCAGUUAAAUGGGAAAGCGUGUACAAACAUUUAACUUGAACAGAGAACAUACAGAGCAAGUAUCGAGAUUUCAUCACCGCUGCCUCAGUGAACUCAAGAGGAAGCUCUGUAAGUAGUAGUGGAAUGACACUGUUCCCAGUCUUCAUGCUAAGCUAACUGUCUCCUGGCUUAACUUCAUAUUUAACAGACAGAUGUGAGUGUGGCACCAAUCUUUGCAUCUAGCGCAGGGCAUUAAGAAAAGAAGCAUAUUUCUAUA